This 71-nucleotide transfer RNA is filed under the name chicken gut metagenome. It matches the Rfam family "tRNA". Rfam says of the family: Transfer RNA (tRNA) molecules are approximately 80 nucleotides in length. Their secondary structure includes four short double-helical elements and three loops (D, anti-codon, and T loops). Further hydrogen bonds mediate the characteristic L-shaped molecular structure. tRNAs have two regions of fundamental functional importance: the anti-codon, which is responsible for specific mRNA codon recognition, and the 3' end, to which the tRNAs corresponding amino acid is attached (by aminoacyl-tRNA synthetases). tRNAs cope with the degeneracy of the genetic code in two manners: having more than one tRNA (with a specific anti-codon) for a particular amino acid; and 'wobble' base-pairing, i.e. permitting non-standard base-pairing at the 3rd anti-codon position. The record is from RNAcentral.
GGGGCAUAGCUCAGCUGGGAGAGCAUCUGCCUUACAAGCAGAGGGUCACAGGUUCGAGCCCUGUUGUCCCC